AGCAGCCGCGGUAAUUCCAGCUCCAAUAGCGUAUAUUAAAGUUGUUGCAGUUAAAAAGCUCGUAGUUGAAUUUCGGGAUCAAUAUGUCGGUCGUGCCUUCGGUACGUACUGGUAUCAUUGGUUUCUCCUUUCUGACGAACCAUGAUGUCAUUAAUUUGGUGUUAUGGGGAGUUAGGACUGUUACUUUGAAAAAAAUUAGAGUGUUUAAAGCAGGCUUUAGCUUGAAUACAUUAGCAUGGAAUAAUGAAAUAGGACGUUCGAACCUAUUUUGUUGGUUUCUAGGAUCAACGUAAUGAUUAAUAGGGAUAGUUGGGGGGCAUUAGUAUUCAAUUGUCAGAGGUGAAAUUCUUGGAUUUAUUGAAGACUAACUACUGCGAAAGCAUUUGCCAAGGAUGUUUUCAUUAAUCAAGAACGAAAGUUAGGGGAUCGAAGACGAUCAGAUACCGUCGUAGUCUUAACCAUAAACUAUGCCGACUAGGGAUCGGAUGAUGUUAAUUUUUUUAAUGACUCAUUCGGCGCC
RNAcentral lists this ribosomal RNA (520 nucleotides) under uncultured Glomus. RNAcentral describes it as "SSU rRNA". It matches the Rfam family "Eukaryotic small subunit ribosomal RNA", at positions 569 to 1087 of the family's 1831-position model. Lineage: Eukaryota; Fungi; Glomeromycota; Glomeromycetes; Glomerales; Glomeraceae. The record is from RNAcentral.